AGCAGCCGCGGUAAUUCCAGCUCCAAUAGCGUAUAUUAAAGUUGUUGCAGUUAAAAAGCUCGUAGUUGAAUUUCGGAAUCUGUCCGUUGGUCGGGCUUAACUGUCCGUACUGAUGUGAUGGGUUCUUACCUUCUGAAUAACCAUCAUGCCAUUAAUUUGGUGUGUUGGGGAAGCAGGACUAUUACCUUGAAAAAUUAGAGUGCUCAAAGCAGGCUAGCGCCUGAAUACAUUAGCAUGGAAUAAUAAAAUAGGACGGCAUGGUUCUAUUUUGUUGGUUUCUAGGAUCACCGUAAUGAUUAAUAGGGAUAGUUGGGGGCAUUAGUAUUCAAUUGUCAGAGGUGAAAUUCUUGGAUUUAUUGAAGACUAACUUCUGCGAAAGCAUUUGCCAAGGAUGUUUUCAUUAAUCAAGAACGAAAGUUAGGGGAUCGAAGACGAUCAGAUACCGUCGUAGUCUUAACCAUAAACUAUGCCGACUAGGGAUCGGACGAUGUUAAUUUUAUAAUGACUCGUUC
This 512-nucleotide ribosomal RNA is filed under the name uncultured Acaulospora. RNAcentral describes it as "SSU rRNA". It matches the Rfam family "Eukaryotic small subunit ribosomal RNA", at positions 569 to 1081 of the family's 1831-position model. Lineage: Eukaryota; Fungi; Glomeromycota; Glomeromycetes; Diversisporales; Acaulosporaceae. The record is from RNAcentral.